GAAAUGCGAUACCUGGUGUGAAUUGCAGAAUCCCGCGAACCAUCGAGUCUUUGAACGCAAGUUGCGCCCGAGGCCACUUGGCCGAGGGCACGCCUGCCUGGGCGUCACGCCAAACACGCUCCCACCCCUCAUCGGGUUGUGGGAUGCGGCAUGUGGCUCCCCGUCUUGCAAGGGGCGGUGGGCCGAAGAUGCGGCUGCCGGCGUAUCGUGCCGGACACAGCGCGUGGUGGGCGAACUCGCUUUACUUACCGCAGUGCAUCCGGCCCAUAGCCGACGUGAUGGCCUGAACGGAGCGCAUGACGCUCCGACCGCGACCCCAGGUCAGGCGGGACUACCCGCUGAAUUUAA
This 348-nucleotide unclassified non-coding RNA is filed under the name uncultured fungus. RNAcentral describes it as "sequence contains ITS1". The stretch from base 1 to 107 matches the Rfam family "5.8S ribosomal RNA", at positions 50 to 154 of the family's 154-position model. The record is from RNAcentral. Lineage: Eukaryota; Fungi.